UUUCUCUUUCUUUACUACCCUACCCCCCACAUUCACAAAAGAAACACCUCUCUCUCUCUCUCUCCUCUCUCUCUCUCACUCUCUCUCUAUCUCUCUCAAGUGUCAUUUUCUCACAUAUACUUCACACAAAAAAACACCAUUCACUUCACAUACCUUGUCAUUUCUUCCUUAUUUCUCUCUCCCUCUCUCUCUCCCUAUCUCUCUCUAAAAUUUUCUUUCAAUCUUAAAUCUCAUCACCUCUGCAACUACUCCAUCAACUUGAUUGAAUGCUUGAAACUCUAUCACUCACACAAAAUCACACACCUUCAGAAUAUCCAAUCAAUUAUUAAUUACACCCCCAUCUUGCAGUCUCAAACCUAG
Molecule: non-coding RNA, 360 nt
Organism: Vicia faba (fava bean)
Lineage: Eukaryota; Viridiplantae; Streptophyta; Magnoliopsida; Fabales; Fabaceae
Source: the annotation of a GenBank genome assembly